This 363-nucleotide transfer-messenger RNA is filed under the name Salmonella enterica subsp. enterica serovar Onderstepoort. It matches the Rfam family "transfer-messenger RNA". From Rfam's summary of the family: Bacterial tmRNA, also known as 10Sa RNA or SsrA, is named for its dual tRNA and mRNA-like properties. Its role is to liberate the mRNA from a stalled ribosome. Lineage: Bacteria; Pseudomonadati; Pseudomonadota; Gammaproteobacteria; Enterobacterales; Enterobacteriaceae. RNAcentral also lists the same sequence under 1 other name. The record is from RNAcentral.
GGGGCUGAUUCUGGAUUCGACGGGAUUUGCGAAACCCAAGGUGCAUGCCGAGGGGCGGUUGGCCUCGUAAAAAGCCGCAAAAAAAUAGUCGCAAACGACGAAAACUACGCUUUAGCAGCUUAAUAACCUGCUUAGAGCCCUCUCUCCCUAGCCUCCGCUCUUAGGACGGGGAUCAAGAGAGGUCAAACCCAAAAGAGAUCGCGUGGAUGCCCUGCCUGGGGUUGAAGCGUUAAAACGAAUCAGGCUAGUCUGGUAGUGGCGUGUCCGUCCGCAGGUGCCAGGCGAAUGUAAAGACUGACUAAGCAUGUAGUACCGAGGAUAUAGGAAUUUCGGACGCGGGUUCAACUCCCGCCAGCUCCACCA